This 451-nucleotide ribosomal RNA is filed under the name uncultured bacterium. Its description in RNAcentral is "bacterial SSU rRNA". It matches the Rfam family "Bacterial small subunit ribosomal RNA", at positions 29 to 524 of the family's 1533-position model. The record is from RNAcentral.
AACGAACGCUGGCGGCAUGCCUAACACAUGCAAGUCGAACGAGACCUUCGGGUCUAGUGGCGCACGGGUGCGUAACGCGUGGGAAUCUGCCCUUGGGUUCGGAAUAACAGCGAGAAAUUGCUGCUAAUACCGGAUGAUGACGUAAGUCCAAAGAUUUAUCGCCCAAGGAUGAGCCCGCGUAGGAUUAGCUAGUUGGUGAGGUAAAGGCUCACCAAGGCGACGAUCCUUAGCUGGUCUGAGAGGAUGAUCAGCCACACUGGGACUGAGACACGGCCCAGACUCCUACGGGAGGCAGCAGUGGGGAAUAUUGGACAAUGGGCGAAAGCCUGAUCCAGCAAUGCCGCGUGAGUGAUGAAGGCCUUAGGGUUGUAAAGCUCUUUUACCCGGGUAUGAUAAUGACAGUACCGGGAGAAUAAGCUCCGGCUAACUCCGUGCCAGCAGCCGCGGUAAU